RNAcentral lists this ribosomal RNA (427 nucleotides) under uncultured bacterium. Its description in RNAcentral is "partial 16S ribosomal RNA". It matches the Rfam family "Bacterial small subunit ribosomal RNA", at positions 355 to 774 of the family's 1533-position model. The record is from RNAcentral.
UGGGGAAUAUUGCACAAUGGGCGCAAGCCUGAUGCAGCCAUGCCGCGUGUAUGAAGAAGGCCUUCGGGUUGUAAAGUACUUUCAGCGAGGAGGAAGGAGGUAAGGUUAAUAACCUUAUCGAUUGACGUUACUCGCAGAAGAAGCACCGGCUAACUCCGUGCCAGCAGCCGCGGUAAUACGGAGGGUGCAAGCGUUAAUCGGAAUUACUGGGCGUAAAGCGCACGCAGGCGGUCUGUCACGUCGGAUGUGAAAUCCCCGGGCUCAACCUGGGAACUGCAUUCGAAACUGGCAGGCUAGAGUCUUGUAGAGGGGGGUAGAAUUCCAGGUGUAGCGGUGAAAUGCGUAGAGAUCUGGAGGAAUACCGGUGGCGAAGGCGGCCCCCUGGACAAAGACUGACGCUCAGGUGCGAAAGCGUGGGGAGCAAACA